RNAcentral lists this ribosomal RNA (466 nucleotides) under uncultured bacterium. RNAcentral describes it as "partial 16S ribosomal RNA". It matches the Rfam family "Bacterial small subunit ribosomal RNA", at positions 28 to 507 of the family's 1533-position model. The record is from RNAcentral.
GAUGAACGCUGGCGGCGUGCUUAACACAUGCAAGUCGAACGAUGAAGCCCAGCUUGCUGGGUGUAUUAGUGGCGAACGGGUGAGUAACACGUGAGUAACCUGCCCUUAACUCUGGGAUAAGCCUGGGAAACUGGGUCUAAUACCGGAUAGGAGCGCCUACCGCAUGGUGGGUGUUGGAAAGAUUUAUCGGUUUUGGAUGGACUCGCGGCCUAUCAGCUUGUUGGUGAGGUAAUGGCUCACCAAGGCGACGACGGGUAGCCGGCCUGAGAGGGUGACCGGCCACACUGGGACUGAGACACGGCCCAGACUCCUACGGGAGGCAGCAGUGGGGAAUAUUGCACAAUGGGCGAAAGCCUGAUGCAGCGACGCCGCGUGAGGGAUGACGGCCUUCGGGUUGUAAACCUCUUUCAGUAGGGAAGGAGCGAAAGUGACGGUACCUGCAGAAGAAGCACCGGCUAACUACGUG